UACGGAGGGGACUAGCGUUGUUCGGAUUUACUGGGCGUAAAGCGUGUGUAGGCGGCUUCGCAAGUUGGAUGUGAAAUCCCACGGCUCAACCGUGGACGUGCAUCCAAAACUGCGUCGCUAGAGUCUCGGAGAGGAAGGUGGAAUGCUUGGUGUAGAGGUGAAAUUCGUAGAUAUCAAGCAGAACACCUGCGGCGAAGGCGGCCUUCUGGACGAUGACUGACGCUGAGACACGAAAGCGUGGGGAGCAAACAGG
Molecule: ribosomal RNA, 253 nt
Filed under: uncultured bacterium
Lineage: Bacteria
Description: partial 16S ribosomal RNA
Rfam family: Bacterial small subunit ribosomal RNA
Source: RNAcentral